GGGGUUGUAGCUCAGUGGUAGAGCACUUGCCCAGCAUGUGAGAGGCACUGGGUUUGAUUCUCAGCACCACA
Molecule: transfer RNA, 71 nt
Filed under: Marmota monax (woodchuck)
Lineage: Eukaryota; Metazoa; Chordata; Mammalia; Rodentia; Sciuridae
Description: tRNA.Ala
Rfam family: tRNA
About the family: Transfer RNA (tRNA) molecules are approximately 80 nucleotides in length. Their secondary structure includes four short double-helical elements and three loops (D, anti-codon, and T loops). Further hydrogen bonds mediate the characteristic L-shaped molecular structure. tRNAs have two regions of fundamental functional importance: the anti-codon, which is responsible for specific mRNA codon recognition, and the 3' end, to which the tRNAs corresponding amino acid is attached (by aminoacyl-tRNA synthetases). tRNAs cope with the degeneracy of the genetic code in two manners: having more than one tRNA (with a specific anti-codon) for a particular amino acid; and 'wobble' base-pairing, i.e. permitting non-standard base-pairing at the 3rd anti-codon position.
Source: RNAcentral